AUCUUUUUCCAGUUCAUAAGCGUGAUGAUUGGGUUCUCACACACUUGCAUGACACAUGCCUCCCUCUAAACCUUGUUACCAUGUAGGCACAUUACCAGUCUGACG
This is a small nucleolar RNA of Perognathus longimembris pacificus (Pacific pocket mouse), 105 nucleotides long. RefSeq annotates it as small nucleolar RNA U13. Lineage: Eukaryota; Metazoa; Chordata; Mammalia; Rodentia; Heteromyidae. The transcript has a single exon. The record is from RefSeq and is a predicted model, not a curated record.